RNAcentral lists this transfer RNA (72 nucleotides) under Chelonia mydas (Green sea turtle). It matches the Rfam family "tRNA". From Rfam's summary of the family: Transfer RNA (tRNA) molecules are approximately 80 nucleotides in length. Their secondary structure includes four short double-helical elements and three loops (D, anti-codon, and T loops). The record is from Rfam by way of RNAcentral. Lineage: Eukaryota; Metazoa; Chordata; Testudines; Cheloniidae.
GGCAGUGUUGCCUUGUGGUGAGGGCACUGGACUAGGACUCAGAAGACCUGGGCUGUAUUCCUGGCUCUGCCA